This 491-nucleotide ribosomal RNA is filed under the name uncultured bacterium. Its description in RNAcentral is "partial 16S ribosomal RNA". It matches the Rfam family "Bacterial small subunit ribosomal RNA", at positions 29 to 506 of the family's 1533-position model. The record is from RNAcentral.
AGUGAACGCUGGCGGUAGGCCUAACACAUGCAAGUCGAACGGCAGCACAGUAAGAGCUUGCUCUUACGGGUGGCGAGUGGCGGACGGGUGAGGAAUACAUCGGAAUCUACUUUUUCGUGGGGGAUAACGUAGGGAAACUUACGCUAAUACCGCAUACGACCUACGGGUGAAAGCAGGGGAUCUUCGGACCUUGCGCGAUUGAAUGAGCCGAUGUCGGAUUAGCUAGUUGGCGGGGUAAAGGCCCACCAAGGCGACGAUCCGUAGCUGGUCUGAGAGGAUGAGCAGCCACACUGGAACUGAGACACGGUCCAGACUCCUACGGGAGGCAGAAGUGGGGAAUAUUGGACAAUGGGCGCAAGCCUGAUCCAGCCAUACCGCGUGGGUGAAGAAGGCCUUCGGGUUGUAAAGCCCUUUUGUUGGGAAAGAAAAGCAGCAGGUUAAUACCCCGCUGUUCUGACGGUACCCAAAGAAUAAGCACCGGCUAACUUCGU